This is a small nuclear RNA of Jaculus jaculus (lesser Egyptian jerboa), 109 nucleotides long. The record is from Ensembl. NCBI's taxonomy places the organism in Eukaryota, Metazoa, Chordata, Mammalia, Rodentia, Dipodidae.
GUGCUCGCUCCAGCAGCACAUAUUACUAAAAUUGGAGCGAUGCAGAUCUAGAUUAGCAUGGCCCCUGAGCAAGGAUGACACGCAAAUUCGCGAAGCAUUCCAUAUUUUU